GAUCAUGGCUCAGGACGAACGCUGGCGGCGUGCCUAACACAUGCAAGUCGAACGGACGAGGGGAGCUUGCUCCCCAAGUUAGUGGCGGACGGGUGAGUAACACGUGAGCAACCUGCCCCUCGGAGGGGGACAACAGCGGGAAACUGCUGCUAAUACCGCAUAAUGUAUUCUGGAGGCAUCUCCGGGAUACCAAAGAUUUUAUCGCCGAAAGGAUGGGCUCGCGUCUGAUUAGAUAGUUGGUGGGGCAACGGCCCACCAAGUCUGCGAUCAGUAGCCGGACUGAGAGGUUGAACGGCCACAGUUGGGACUGAGAUACCGGCCCAGACCUCCGUACGGGAGGCAGCAGGUGGGGAAUAGUUGGGCAAUGGGGGCAACCCUGACCCAGCAACGCCGCGUGGAGGAAGAAGGCUUUCGGGUUGUAAACUCCUUUGACGAGGGACGAUGAUGACGGUACCUCGAAAACAAGCCACGGCUAACUACGUGCCAGCAGCUGC
RNAcentral lists this ribosomal RNA (494 nucleotides) under uncultured bacterium. Its description in RNAcentral is "bacterial SSU rRNA". It matches the Rfam family "Bacterial small subunit ribosomal RNA", at positions 15 to 518 of the family's 1533-position model. The record is from RNAcentral.